GCGGCUGUGGUCCAGUGGUUAUGACAUAGGCUUCCCAAGCCUGUAACCCGGGUUCGAAUCCCGGCAGCCGCAC
This 73-nucleotide transfer RNA is filed under the name Methanosaeta sp. PtaU1.Bin112. RNAcentral describes it as "tRNA-Gly". It matches the Rfam family "tRNA". Rfam says of the family: Transfer RNA (tRNA) molecules are approximately 80 nucleotides in length. Their secondary structure includes four short double-helical elements and three loops (D, anti-codon, and T loops). Lineage: Archaea; Methanobacteriati; Methanobacteriota; Methanomicrobia; Methanotrichales; Methanotrichaceae. The record is from RNAcentral.